ACGGGAGGCAGCAGUGAGGAAUAUUGGUCAAUGGGCGAGAGCCUGAACCAGCCAAGUAGCGUGAGGGACGACGGCCCUACGGGUUGUAAACCUCUUUUGUUCGGGAAUAAGGAGCCUACGCGUAGGCUUUUGCAUGUACCGUUCGAAUAAGCAUCGGCUAAUUCCGUGCCAGCAGCCGCGGUAAUACGGAAGAUGCGAGCGUUAUCCGGAUUUAUUGGGUUUAAAGGGAGCGUAGGCGGUCCUUUAAGUCAGCGGUCAAAUGUCGGGGCCCAACCCCGGCCUGCCGUUGAUACUGGAGGACUUGAAUACACACAAGGAAGGUGGAAUUCGUCGUGUAGCGGUGAAAUGCUUAGAUAUGACGAAGAACUCCGAUUGCGAAGGCAGCCUUCUGGAGUGCGAUUGACGCUGAGGCUCGAAAGCGCGGGUAUCAAACAGGAUUAGAUACCCUGGUA
RNAcentral lists this ribosomal RNA (452 nucleotides) under uncultured Prevotellaceae bacterium. RNAcentral describes it as "bacterial SSU rRNA". It matches the Rfam family "Bacterial small subunit ribosomal RNA", at positions 341 to 792 of the family's 1533-position model. The record is from RNAcentral. Lineage: Bacteria; Pseudomonadati; Bacteroidota; Bacteroidia; Bacteroidales; Prevotellaceae.